GUACAGGUGUGAUCUUCAUGGAGCUAGCCAUCAUUGGAUUUGGUAAUACAUAAUCACUUAUUCAGAGAGCCCAAGGUGAGAAGGGACGAGCAUCUAGAACACCACCACCUACUAAUCAGUGAGCUACUAUCUGUCUUUGAAUGAGUUACUUAACAAGAGAAGGCAGGUAGCAAUAGAACACGUGCAAUCUCAAUGUUUACUAAUUAUGUAUUUCUGAAUUUAUUCGUUCCCAGCUGCUCUGAAUCUGGGUGUUUUGCUUGCUGCUUUGUAGGAGUUUCCUACCUUUCUUCUGCAAAUCUGGAAUGCCUUUAUGGCAUGAUCAUGUGAAAGAAGUACCUUGAUGCAGUAAUGGAUUUGAUUAUCACUGGU
RNAcentral lists this long non-coding RNA (369 nucleotides) under Triticum aestivum (bread wheat). Its description in RNAcentral is "long non-coding RNA (TAES_LNC006457)". Lineage: Eukaryota; Viridiplantae; Streptophyta; Magnoliopsida; Poales; Poaceae. The record is from RNAcentral.